GGUCAUAUAGCUCAGCGGUAGAGCACUACGUUGACAUCGUAGGGGUCACAGGUUCGAUCCCUGUUAUGACCACCA
RNAcentral lists this transfer RNA (75 nucleotides) under Holosporales bacterium. RNAcentral's name for it is "tRNA-Val". It matches the Rfam family "tRNA". Rfam says of the family: Transfer RNA (tRNA) molecules are approximately 80 nucleotides in length. Lineage: Bacteria; Pseudomonadati; Pseudomonadota; Alphaproteobacteria; Holosporales. The record is from RNAcentral.